This 109-nucleotide non-coding RNA is filed under the name Flammeovirgaceae bacterium 311. RNAcentral's name for it is "SAM riboswitch aptamer (S box leader)". It matches the Rfam family "SAM riboswitch aptamer (S box leader)". From Rfam's summary of the family: The SAM riboswitch is found upstream of a number of genes which code for proteins involved in methionine or cysteine biosynthesis in Gram-positive bacteria. The SAM riboswitch acts at the level of transcription termination control. The record is from Rfam by way of RNAcentral. Lineage: Bacteria; Pseudomonadati; Bacteroidota; Cytophagia; Cytophagales; Flammeovirgaceae. RNAcentral also lists the same sequence under 1 other name.
UGCUUAUCCAGAAAGACGGAGGGAAUGGGCCCGAUGAUGUCUUAGCAACCUGGACAGACCUAGUCUGGUGGUGCUAACUCCCAUGCCUGAUACAGGCAGAAGAUGAGCG